GUGCCAGAAACAAGACAAUAUAAUCUUGAAUCUGAAAAGCUGAAUUCCUUAUUUUUUUUCUUUUUCUUUUUCCUUGUAAGUCGUGUGGCAGGAGACCCUUAACAUCUAAUCAAGAGCCAGGAACUGAGGACUUGAUGAAAUAACGGUGUCAUGAUGACAUGUAAAAGCCGAAAAAUUUUCAUUCUUGGGCCUUCCCAUCACGUGCCCCUCUCCCGAUGUGCACUUUCCAGUGUGGACAUUUACAGAACACCUCUGUAUGAUCUUCGAAUUGACCAAAAGAUUUAUGGAGAAUUGUGGAAGACUGGAAUGUUUGAGCGCAUGUCCCUA
Cyanistes caeruleus (blue tit) is the source of this 327-nucleotide non-coding RNA. Lineage: Eukaryota; Metazoa; Chordata; Aves; Passeriformes; Paridae. The record is from RefSeq and is a predicted model, not a curated record.